AGAGUUUGAUCCUGGCUCAGGAUGAACGCUAGCUACAGGCUUAACACAUGCAAGUCGAGGGGAAACGAUAUUGGAAGCUUGCUUCCGAUAGGCGUCGACCGGCGCACGGGUGAGUAACGCGUAUCCAACCUGCCCACCACUUGGGGAUAACCUUGCGAAAGUAAGACUAAUACACAAUGACGUCUCUAGAAGACAUCUGAAGGAGAUUAAAGAUUUAUCGGUGAUGGAUGGGGAUGCGUCUGAUUAGCUUGUUGGUGAGGUAACGGCCCACCAAGGCGACGAUCGGUAGCCGGACUGAGAGGUUGAACGGCCACAUUGGGACUGAGACACGGCCCAGACUCCUACGGGAGGCAGCAGUGGGGAAUAUUGCACAAUGGGGGAAACCCUGAUGCAGCGACGCCGCGUGGAGGAAGAAGGUCUUCGGAUUGUAAACUCCUGUUGUUGAGGAAGAUAAUGACGGUACUCAACAAGGAAGUGACGGCUAACUACGUGCCAGCAGCCGCGGUAAAACGUAGGUCACAAGCGUUGUCCGGAAUUACUGGGUGUAAAGGGAGCGCAGGCGGGCGAUCAAGUUGGAAGUGAAAUCCAUGGGCUCAACCCAUGAACUGCUUUCAAAACUGGUCGUCUUGAGUAGUGCAGAGGUAGGCGGAAUUCCCGGUGUAGCGGUGGAAUGCGUAGAUAUCGGGAGGAACACCAGUGGCGAAGGCGGCCUACUGGGCACCAACUGACGCUGAGGCUCGAAAGUGUGGGUAGCAAACAGGAUUAGAUACCCUGGUAGUCCACACCGUAAACGAUGAUUACUAGGUGUUGGGAGAUUGACCCUCUCAGUGCCGCAGUUAACACAAUAAGUAAUCCACCUGGGGAGUACGACCGCAAGGUUGAAACUCAAAGGAAUUGACGGGGGCCCGCACAAGCAGUGGAGUAUGUGGUUUAAUUCGACGCAACGCGAAGAACCUUACCAAGUCUUGACAUCCCUUGACGAUGCUGGAAACAGUAUUUCUCUUCGGAGCAAGGAGACAGGUGGUGCAUGGUUGUCGUCAGCUCGUGUCGUGAGAUGUUGGGUUAAGUCCCGCAACGAGCGCAACCCUUAUGGUCAGUUACUACGCAAGAGGACUCUGGCCAGACUGCCGUUGACAAAACGGAGGAAGGUGGGGAUGACGUCAAAUCAUCAUGCCCUUUAUGACUUGGGCUACACACGUACUACAAUGGCGUUAAACAAAGAGAAGCAAGACCGCGAGGUGGAGCAAAACUCAGAAACAACGUCCCAGUUCGGACUGCAGGCUGCAACUCGCCUGCACGAAGUCGGAAUUGCUAGUAAUCGUGGAUCAGCAUGCCACGGUGAAUACGUUCCCGGGCCUUGUACACACCGCCCGUCACACCAUGAGAGCCGGGGGGACCCGAAGUCGGUAGUCUAACCGCAAGGAGGACGCCGCCGAAGGUAAAACUGGUGAUUGGGGUGAAGUCGUAACAAGGU
Molecule: ribosomal RNA, 1474 nt
Filed under: metagenome
Description: bacterial SSU rRNA
Rfam family: Bacterial small subunit ribosomal RNA
Source: RNAcentral